ACUUUGGCUAAUACCGCAUAGACUCGAAAGAGGAAAGCUGCCGCAAGGUAGCGCUAGAAGAGGGGCCUGCGUCCGAUUAGCUAGUUGGUGGGGUAAGAGCCCACCAAGGCGAUGAUCGGUAACUGGUCUGAGAGGACGACCAGUCACACUGGGACUGAGACACGGCCCAGACUCCUACGGGAGGCAGCAGUGGGGAAUAUUGGACAAUGGGGGAAACCCUGAUCCAGCGAUGCCGCGUGGGUGAAGAAGGCCUUCGGGUUGUAAAGCCCUUUCGGUGGGGAAGAAAAGCCUCGAGUUAAUACCUCGGGGUCUUGACGUAACCCAUAGAAGAAGCACCGGCUAACUCUGUGCCAGCAGCCGCGGUAAUACGGGGGGAGCAAGCGUUGUUCGGAUUUACUGGGCGUAAAGGGCGCGUAGGCGGCCACCGCAAGUCGACUGUGAAAUCUCUGGGCUUAACCCAGAACGGUCAGCCGAUACUGCGGGGCUAGAGUGCAGAAGGGGCAACUGGAAUUCUCGGUGUAGCGGUGAAAUGCGUAGAUAUCGAGAGGAACACCUGCGGCGAAAGCGGGUUGCUGGGCUGACACCGACGCUGAGGCGCG
This 599-nucleotide ribosomal RNA is filed under the name uncultured bacterium. Its description in RNAcentral is "bacterial SSU rRNA". It matches the Rfam family "Bacterial small subunit ribosomal RNA", at positions 156 to 755 of the family's 1533-position model. The record is from RNAcentral.